Molecule: long non-coding RNA, 407 nt
Organism: Agrilus planipennis (emerald ash borer)
Lineage: Eukaryota; Metazoa; Arthropoda; Insecta; Coleoptera; Buprestidae
Exons: 2
Source: RefSeq, a predicted model, not a curated record
AGCAUUAAAAACCUAGUUAAAGGUGUUAUUUUGCUGUCCGUUCGUUUUGUAUUCUGUCUAAUAUUCUUUACUGCUAUCUUUUCAGCUGAUCUUCGUUAAUUAAUAUCCACGAAACUAAAAAACAUGAAUUUUAUGAGAAUACUUGUGAAGAACUUGCCCCAAAAGGCAAUUGGCUCGCAAAUAAGACAUGGAUCUGUAGUGUCUGCUCCUCCACACUACAGGAUGUCCAUGGCUGCAAAAAUUACCCAUGGAAUAAUAUUUUUCGUCGCUGUAUCGGCCUAUCCCGCUUGGGUCACUUUAAAUAUUAAAAAUUAUCGAGCACAGCAACAGUAAAUGUAAAGUUAUUGUAAUUUCAUUCCUAAUUGUAGAAAAGUUAGAAAAUAAAUAAAUGUCAUUAUUUAAUCGUA